GUUGAACUGUAGUGAUUUCCCUGAAGAAUCAGAUUAUACUCUAGGCAUUUUGUGUGCACCUGAGAGCAAUGUGGAUCAGUCUUACACAUAACACAAACACAAUAAGGCUAAAGGCUAUGCCAAUUCCAAGGGUUCCUUUGGUUUGACCAUCAGCAGCAACCGAUUCAGUUGUUUACUCUUUUCUCCCUGAUACAGUGUCUUCCCUUUACCUUAAAGAGAACGACCUUGCUAGUUCCUCUUCUUAGUCUCUUUUGAUGGUUCCUUUGUCUUAGUUUGUUCUCCACUUUCUCUCUCUUGAUGAUCUUGUCCAGUAUUAUGGGCUUUAAAUCCAUCUUCAGCCCCGACUUGUCUUUCAACUGCAACCUUAUAUAUACAAAUGCCUACUUGAUAUCUCCACUUAGAGGUUCAACAAGCAUCUGAAACUCAACAUGUCUAGAACUGAAUCUUCCUGAUCUUCCCCCAUCAUCCUUGCCCCUGUUUACCUACAGUCUUCCAAUCUGUGGUAGUUUUUAAAAAACGACUACAAAUUCUUUGAUAUUCCUCUCAUGAAAAAGUAUGGUCUAGGUUCCCUCCCCUUUAAUCUGGCUGGGCUUGGUGAUGCUUUGACCAACAGAAUACAUACAGUAGAAGUGAAACUCUAUGACUUCUGAGAUGAGGUCAUAAAAGGCUACGGAACUUCUGCUUGGUUCUCUUGGAUCACCUCCUCUUGGCAUGUUAGCUCUUGGGAUGCUCAGUCUGCAGAGCUCUCCUUGGGAAUUUGGCCUCCAUGUCGUAAGAAGUUCUAACCACCUGGAGAGACCAGCUGCUCCAGCCAUUCAAGUUUCCCUCAACUGUUCAUGCAUCCCAGCCAAAGUCCCAGACAUCGUGGAGCAGAGCAACCCAUGCCCACAGUGCCCUGUCUGAAUUCCUGACCCAUAGAAUCCUAGAGUGUAAUAAAAUGGUUUAAG
RNAcentral lists this long non-coding RNA (947 nucleotides) under Equus caballus (horse). RNAcentral's name for it is "lncRNA (ENSECAG00000053967.1)". The record is from RNAcentral. Lineage: Eukaryota; Metazoa; Chordata; Mammalia; Perissodactyla; Equidae.